Molecule: ribosomal RNA, 496 nt
Filed under: uncultured bacterium
Lineage: Bacteria
Description: partial 16S ribosomal RNA
Rfam family: Bacterial small subunit ribosomal RNA
Source: RNAcentral
AUGAACGCUGGCGGCGUGCCUAAUACAUGCAAGUCGAGCGAACAGAUGAGGAGCUUGCUCCUCUGAUGUUAGCGGCGGACGGGUGAGUAACACGUGGAUAACCUACCUAUAAGACUGGGAUAACUUCGGGAAACCGGAGCUAAUACCGGAUAAUAUAUUGAACCGCAUGGUUCAAUAGUGAAAGACGGUUUUGCUGUCACUUAUAGAUGGAUCCGCGCCGCAUUAGCUAGUUGGUAAGGUAACGGCUUACCAAGGCAACGAUGCGUAGCCGACCUGAGAGGGUGAUCGGCCACACUGGAACUGAGACACGGUCCAGACUCCUACGGGAGGCAGCAGUAGGGAAUCUUCCGCAAUGGGCGAAAGCCUGACGGAGCAACGCCGCGUGAGUGAUGAAGGUCUUCGGAUCGUAAAACUCUGUUAUUAGGGAAGAACAAAUGUGUAAGUAACUAUGCACGUCUUGACGGUACCUAAUCAGAAAGCCACGGCUAACUACGUG